Molecule: transfer RNA, 77 nt
Filed under: Vibrio phage 501E54-1
Lineage: Duplodnaviria; Heunggongvirae; Uroviricota; Caudoviricetes
Description: tRNA-Ile
Source: RNAcentral
GUGCCCAUAACUCAGUUGGUUAGAGUAGCAUCCUCAUAAGAUGAAGGUCGAUGAUUCAAGUUCAUCUGGGCGCACCA